UACGUAGGGGGCUAGCGUUGUCCGGAUUUAUUGGGCGUAAAGGGCGCGUAGGCGGCAAUUCAAGUCAGCUGUGAAAUCUCCGGGCUUAACUCGGAACGGUCAGCUGAUACUGCUUUGCUAGAGUGCAGAAGGGGCAAUCGGAAUUCUUGGUGUAGCGGUGAAAUGCGUAGAUAUCAAGAGGAACACCUGAGGUGAAGACGGGUUGCUGGGCUGACACUGACGCUGAGGCGCGAAAGCUAGGGUAGCAAACGGG
Molecule: ribosomal RNA, 253 nt
Filed under: uncultured bacterium
Lineage: Bacteria
Description: partial 16S ribosomal RNA
Rfam family: Bacterial small subunit ribosomal RNA
Source: RNAcentral